GACGAACGCUGGCGGCGUGCUUAACACAUGCAAGUCGAACGGAAAGGCCCUGCUAUCGUGCGGUUCUCGAGUGCCGAAGGGGUGAGUAACACGUGAGUAACCUGCCCUUGACUUUGGGAUAACUUCAGGAAACUGGGCCUACUACCGGAUAGGAUCUCCCGCUGCAUGGAGGGGGUUGGAAAGUCGGGGCGGGUGGGGAUGGAUUCGCGGGUUACCAGCUAGCUGGUGGGGUAGUGGCUGACCAAGGCUUUGAAGGGUAGGCGGCAUGGGAGGGUGGCCGGCCACAAUGGGCCUGAGGUACGGCCCAGUCGCCAAUGGGGGGCAGCGGGGGGGAGUCUGGUACAGUGAGCGGGAGCCUGAUGCGGAAACGCCGCGUGCGGGAAGACGGCCUUCGGGGAGAGAACAGCAGCCGCCUGUGACGAAGCGUGAGUGACGGUAAUGAGUAAAGAAGCACCGGCUAACUACGUG
This 468-nucleotide ribosomal RNA is filed under the name uncultured bacterium. RNAcentral's name for it is "partial 16S ribosomal RNA". It matches the Rfam family "Bacterial small subunit ribosomal RNA", at positions 28 to 507 of the family's 1533-position model. The record is from RNAcentral.